ACUUUUAAAGGAUAGAAGUUAUCCGUUGGCCUUAGGAGCCAAAAAAU
This 47-nucleotide transfer RNA is filed under the name Microcebus sp. 'mangabenensis'. RNAcentral's name for it is "tRNA-Leu". Lineage: Eukaryota; Metazoa; Chordata; Mammalia; Primates; Cheirogaleidae. RNAcentral also lists the same sequence under 1 other name. The record is from RNAcentral.